GACGAACGCUGGCGGCGUGCUUAACACAUGCAAGUCGAACGGACAGGCCCUGCUUUUGUGGGGUGCUCGAGUGGCGAACGGGUGAGUAACACGUGAGUAACCUGCCCUUGACUUUGGGAUAACUUCAGGAAACUGGGGCUAAUACCGGAUAGGAGCUCCUGCUGCAUGGUGGGGGUUGGAAAGUUUCGGCGGUUGGGGAUGGACUCGCGGCUUAUCCGCUUGUUUGUGGGGUAGUGGCUUACCAAGGCUUUGACGGGUAGUCGGCCUGAGAGGGUGACCGGCCACAUUGGGACUGAGAUACGGCCCAGACUCCUACGGGAGGCAGCAGUGGGGAAUAUUGCACAAUGGGCGGAAGCCUGAUGCAGCAACGCCGCGUGCGGGAUGACGGCCUUCGGGUUGUAAACCGCUUUCGCCUGUGACGAAGCGUGAGUGACGGUAAUGGGUAAAGAAGCACCGGCUAACUACGUG
This 468-nucleotide ribosomal RNA is filed under the name uncultured bacterium. RNAcentral describes it as "partial 16S ribosomal RNA". It matches the Rfam family "Bacterial small subunit ribosomal RNA", at positions 28 to 507 of the family's 1533-position model. The record is from RNAcentral.